This 445-nucleotide ribosomal RNA is filed under the name uncultured bacterium. RNAcentral describes it as "partial 16S ribosomal RNA". It matches the Rfam family "Bacterial small subunit ribosomal RNA", at positions 354 to 796 of the family's 1533-position model. The record is from RNAcentral.
GUGAGGAAUAUUGGUCAAUGGGCGAGAGCCUGAACCAGCCAAGUCGCGUGAAGGAAGAAGGAUCUAUGGUUCGUAAACUUCUUUUGCAGGGGAAUAAAGUGCAGGAUGUGUCCUGUUUUGUAUGUACCCUGAGAAUAAGGAUCGGCUAACUCCGUGCCAGCAGCCGCGGUAAUACGGAGGAUCCGAGCGUUAUCCGGAUUUAUUGGGUUUAAAGGGUGCGUAGGUGGUUUGAUAAGUCAGCGGUGAAAGUUUGCAGCUUAACUGUAAAAAUGCCGUUGAAACUGUCGGACUUGAGUGUAAAUGAGGUAGGCGGAAUGCGUGGUGUAGCGGUGAAAUGCAUAGAUAUCACGCAGAACUCCGAUUGCGAAGGCAGCUUACUAAGCUACAACUGACACUGAAGCACGAAAGCGUGGGGAUCAAACAGGAUUAGAUACCCCUGUAGUCC